GAAAGGAGGGCUAAUACCGCAUAACAUCAUGAAGUCUCCGGGUUUCAUGAUCAAAACAGGCCUCUGAUUCAUGCUUGUGCUUCUGGAGGGACCCGCGCCCCAUUAGCUUGUUGGUGAGGUAACGGCUCACCAAGGCUCCGAUGGGUAGCCGGCCUGAGAGGGCGAUCGGCCACACUGGAACUUAGACACGGUCCAGACUCCUACGGGAGGCAGCAGUGAGGAAUAUUGCGCAAUGGGCGAAAGCCUGACGCAGCGACGCCGCGUGGAGGAUGAAGGCCUUCGGGUUGUAAACUCCUGUCAGGAGGGACGAACGUCAACAGGCUGAAUAAUCCUGUUGGUUGACGGUACCUCCAAAGGAAGCCCCGGCUAACUCCGUGCCAGCAGCCGCGGUAAUACGGAGGGGGCCAGCGUUGUUCGGAAUUAUUGGGCGUAAAGGGCGCGUAGGCUGCUUUGCAAGUCGAAGGUGAAAUCCCUCAGCUCAACUGAGGAACUGCCUCCGAUACUACAAGGCUUGAGUCCCGGAGAGGGUAGCGGAAUUCCCAGUGUAGCGGUGAAA
Molecule: ribosomal RNA, 556 nt
Filed under: uncultured bacterium
Lineage: Bacteria
Description: bacterial SSU rRNA
Rfam family: Bacterial small subunit ribosomal RNA
Source: RNAcentral